GAUGAACGCUGGCGGCGUGCCUAAUACAUGCAAGUCGAGCGAACAGAUGAGAAGCUUGCUUCUCUGAUGUUAGCGGCGGACGGGUGAGUAACACGUGGGUAACCUACCUAUAAGACUGGGAUAACUCCGGGAAACCGGGGCUAAUACCGGAUAAUAUUUUGAACCGCAUGGUUCAAUAGUGAAAGACGGUUUCGGCUGUCACUUAUAGGUGGACCCGCGCCGUAUUAGCUAGUUGGUAAGGUAACGGCUUACCAAGGCGACGAUACGUAGCCGGCCAGGGAGGGUGAUCGGCCACAGUGAAACUGAGAACCGGUCCAGACUCCUACGGGAGGCAGCAGUAGGGAAUCUCCCGAAAUGGGCGAAGGCCUGACGGGGCAACGCGGCGUGAGUGAUGAAGGUUUUCGGAUCGUAAAACUCUGUUGUUAGGGAAGAACAAAUUUGUUAGUAACUGAACAAGUCUUGACGGUACCUAACCAGAAAGCCACGGCUAACUACGUGCCACCCGCCGCGGUAA
This 514-nucleotide ribosomal RNA is filed under the name uncultured bacterium. Its description in RNAcentral is "partial 16S ribosomal RNA". It matches the Rfam family "Bacterial small subunit ribosomal RNA", at positions 28 to 523 of the family's 1533-position model. The record is from RNAcentral.